CCUACGGGCGGCAGCAGUGAGGAAUAUUGGUCAAUGGACGCAAGUCUGAACCAGCCAUGCCGCGUGCAGGAAGACGGCUCUAUGAGUUGUAAACUGCUUUUGUACGAGGGUAAACGCAGAUACGCGUAUCUGUCUGAAAGUAUCGUACGAUGAAGGAUCGGCUAACUCCGUGCCAGCAGCCGCGGUAAUACGGAGGAUUCAAGCGUUAUCCGGGUUUAGUGGGUUUAAAGGGUGCGUAGGCGGUCGGAUAAGUUAGAGGUGAAAUCCCGGGGCUCAACUUCGGAAUUGCCUCUGAUACUGUUCGGCUAGAGAGUAGUUGCGGUAGGCGGAAUGUAUGGUGUAGCGGUGAAAUGCUUAGAGAUCAUACAGAACACCGAUUGCGAAGGCAGCUUACCAAGCUACUUCUGACGUUGAGGCACGAAAGCGUGGGGAGCAAACAGGAUUAGAUACCCUUGUAGUC
This 460-nucleotide ribosomal RNA is filed under the name uncultured bacterium. RNAcentral describes it as "partial 16S ribosomal RNA". It matches the Rfam family "Bacterial small subunit ribosomal RNA", at positions 338 to 795 of the family's 1533-position model. The record is from RNAcentral.